This 18-nucleotide small nuclear RNA is filed under the name Arabidopsis thaliana (thale cress). RNAcentral describes it as "snRNA_10253". The record is from RNAcentral. Lineage: Eukaryota; Viridiplantae; Streptophyta; Magnoliopsida; Brassicales; Brassicaceae.
CCCCAAAUGUAGACAAAG